UGGGGAAUUUUCCGCAAUGGGCGAAAGCCUGACGGAGCAAGACCGCGUGAGGGAGGAAGGCUCUUGGGUUGUAAACCUCUUUUCUUUGGGAAGAAGCUCUGACGGUACCAAAGGAAUCAGCAUCGGCUAACUCCGUGCCAGCAGCCGCGGUAAUACGGAGGAUGCAAGCGUUAUCCGGAAUCAUUGGGCGUAAAGCGUCCGCAGGUGGCUGUUCAAGUCUGCGGUCAAAGACAGUGGCUCAACUACUGAAAGGCCGUGGAAACUGAAUAGCUAGAGGCAGGUAGGGGUAGAGGGAAUUCCCGGUGUAGCGGUGAAAUGCGUAGAGAUCGGGAAGAACACCAGUGGCGAAAGCGCUCUGCUGGACCUGCACUGACACUGAGGGACGAAAGCUAGGGGAGCG
This 400-nucleotide ribosomal RNA is filed under the name uncultured bacterium. RNAcentral describes it as "bacterial SSU rRNA". It matches the Rfam family "Bacterial small subunit ribosomal RNA", at positions 355 to 770 of the family's 1533-position model. The record is from RNAcentral.